CAAAAAUGCCAAUGCCCACCUCUUUUUAUUUUAAGCUGUUUUGUAGUUAAAUAGAGCUGUGUUUGUUAUUUCAUGCCACAAAAUGAAAUAGACUGAUGUGUUUUUUGUUGGUUUUGUAACCUCCCAAAUGUAUAGCAAAUACUCUCAACAAAUAGCAAGGAGUACUUGUUAAUGGAAGAGUUAAUUACAGGACACACUCGGGCUGGCUCACAGAUUUUGGCUACCUUUUUCUAGAGGAGCCAGAGGAGCUGAUGUGCCCGAGUGUGCUUUGGGUUGAGGAGCGAGGAGAGCAUCUGGAUGUGCCACCAGCCCGAGCUGCAGGCUUGGGAUUUUGCUGCCCAUUGACUUUGGUGGCUUCCCUGAAUCACCUUCCCAUUUUUCUUGAGUACUUGGAUCCAAGGAGCAGGCUGACCACGAGGAGCACUCGUGCCAAGGCAGAUGUGUGGUGCUGCUGAUCAUGCCAGGAGUCUGGGGCUGUUUGUUAAUUGAUGGCAACCAAUUAUUAUACCAGGGGAGCCCGGAGAUAAAUAUUUUUGGUUUCAAAGCUUCACUUUAUUUAAGACUCUAUAAAUACAUUCUCAUGAAGUAUUUAUACACCCUAACCCAGCUCAGAGGAAGAAACAGAAGUAAUGGUAAGACAAAGGAAGAAGUAGAAUGCACGUUCAUCCACUCCACGUGUCGUCUUGUCUGAAAGCCUCUUGGUCAACUAAAGCCGUAAGAGCUGGCUUUUCAGCCAGACAAGACAUGCGAGUGUUCUAAAAAUGCCCUGCUGCCAUAUCCACGAGUUCAACAACAUCAGCGCUAGCAACACUGACAGCCCUGCUGAAGGAGGCCUCCAGCACUUCUCAGGCCGUUGAUUCGUCACCGAGCAAAACUGAUGGAGUGACAGAGACAGGCAGAAAGGAGCUAGCAGGUUAUCUGGGUUGGGGUUUCCAGUGCUGGAGCAGCUGGGGUCUGAGCCUGUGUUGUCAGUAGAAAAAUUAGAGUGUUUGUAAACAAGUCUGCUGCAGUGAUUGUGGCGCAUAAAUGCAGCGGACCCACGUUGCUGCAAGCAAGUUCAGUCCCUUGAACUCACAGAAAGUGUUUGGAAAUCAGCAGCAAAGGGCAUUCUGAAUUUUUUCCUUUUCAAGAACAACACUUGCUGCAAUCAGGUAGAAAAUAAACAUCCUUUGAUGCGGUAAUUGUGGCCAUGUGUUCCCCUUGGAAAUUACAGGGAUUUUAUU
RNAcentral lists this long non-coding RNA (1223 nucleotides) under Cairina moschata (Muscovy duck). RNAcentral's name for it is "domestica (muscovy Duck (domestic type)) lncRNA (ENSCMMG00000009610.1)". The record is from RNAcentral. Lineage: Eukaryota; Metazoa; Chordata; Aves; Anseriformes; Anatidae.